CCAGCUCUGUGGGGGAGCGGGUCCGCCAUUACUAAGGCAGUCCACCCCUACCGAGGGGAGGCAGCCCGCCAUUAUAGAGGUGGGCCGCCAUUGCUGAGGCAGCCGGCUGUUUCGGAGGCAGCCCGCCAUUAUAGAGUGAAAGAACCCACCUUGAGCAGAGAAGCAGCCAAGACUUUGAGCUUGACCCAUGACUGUCGACAGAGGCAGGUGGGUUCAACUCCCACGAGCACCUGUGGUCACUCACAAAUGGUAUCAGCCCAAGUGGCUCAAAGGCUGGGGGAUGAGUCUGAAGCCAUAUUCACUCACACGCCUGGUGCUUGAUGCAGACUAUCAGUUGAGACCUUAGCUGGGGCUGAAAACACAGACACACAGCCUCUUUGUGUAUGCUGGGCUCCCUCAUGACAUGAUGGCUGAGCUCCAAGGGCAAAUGUCUGAACAGAAGAAGAGCCAAGUACAAGCCAUAUCACCUUUUAUGACCUAGCCUCAGAAGCCACCUGGUGUUACUUCCUCUACAAUCUAUUCAUCAAGGCAGUCACAAAUGUCCUCCCAAGUUCACAGCAAGAGGAAAUAAACUUCAACUCUUUUUUUUUUUUUUUUGAGUUGGAGUCUCUCUCUGUCACCCAGGCUGGAGUGCAGUGGCAGGAUCUCGGCUCACUGCAACUUCCACCUCCUGAGUUCAAGCAAUUCUCCUGCCUCAGCCUCCCAAGUAGCUGGGAUUACAAGUACCCAUCACCUAGCUAAUUUUUUGUAUUUUUAGUAGAGAUGGGGUUUCACCAUGUUGGCCAGGCUGAUCUUGAACUCCUGACCUCAGGCAAUCCACCUGCCUUGGCCUCCCAAAGUGCUGGAAUGGCUACAGGCGUGAGCCAUUCUUGAUGAGGGAGUAGCAAGUUUCUGGCAAUGUGGGAUCAGAGAUACGAUUGUACUGUGUAUUUUACUUUCUGUAUCUUGAUGCUUUGACAUCUGGGGCCUUGCAGACUCUGAAAGGACUACUCCCUCCAGAAUUAACCAAUUCCUAGAGACAAGAAAGCAGCUCAAGUUCUAACUCCCCAGGACAGAAUUCAAGACCCCUCCAAUCAGGCCUCAGUCUAACUUGCUAACUUCCCCCUCUCUGGCCCCUCUACAAACUGCUCCAACGGUUUGCCCAGUUGCCCAUUCUCCAAAGAUACCUUGCAAUUACUCUUUACUGGAUCUCUUGUUCACAUUUCAAAGUCCAACCUGAGCCCUAGCUCCUCCAUGCUGCUCCAUGCUGCUCCGUGCUCCUCCAUGCUCCUCCAUGCUCCUCCAUGCUGCUCCGUGCUCCUCCAUGAAGCCAUUCCCAUUCACAGGGAUGCAUGUCCUUUCUGAACCCUGUCUCACAGCAUUCAUUCUCCGCACCGGUCCCUUUAUUGCUUGGUUAUACAACAGAUCUACCUAUGCUGUUAAUUAGAUUCUGCAGAUUAAAGCUCUAAGGAACUCUAAGAGAUUAUUUUGUUC
Callithrix jacchus (white-tufted-ear marmoset) is the source of this 1473-nucleotide long non-coding RNA. RefSeq lists it as uncharacterized. The record is from RefSeq and is a predicted model, not a curated record. NCBI's taxonomy places the organism in Eukaryota, Metazoa, Chordata, Mammalia, Primates, Cebidae.